UAUCUCUGUAGAGUCUGCAUAUCAAUAAGCGGAGGAAAAGAAACUAACAAGGAUUCCCCUAGUAACGGCGAGUGAAGCGGGAAGAGCUCAAAUUUGAAAUCUUCAAGGUUUGACCUUGACGAAUUGUAGUUUAAAGAAGUGUUUUCGGUUAGAGGAGUAGUAAAAGUUCUUUGGAAUAGGACAUCAUAGAGGGUGAGAAUCCCGUAUUUGACUAUUCUUUCUAGCUUUGUGAUACACUUUCAAAGAGUCGGAUUGUUUGGGAAGUGCAGUUCAAAAUGGGUGGUAAAUUUCAUCUAAAGCUAAAUAUUGGCGAGAGACCGAUAGCGAACAAGUACCGUGAGGGAAAGAUGAAAAGAACUUUGAAAAGAGAGUUAAACAGUACGUGAAAUUGUCAAAAGGGAAGCGUUUGACACCAGUGUUGUUUUUCCGAAAAUCAACUAAAAAUUGAUUCAUGCCAGGUUGUAUUGACCUUAUCAGCUUGCAAUUUGGUUUUGGGUCUCUUUUUGAUGCACUUUUCGGUUAACAAGUCAACAUCAAUUUCCUUUGCUGUAAAAAGGUAAGAGGAAGGUGGCUUCAAUUUCGGUUGAAGUGUUUAUAGCCUUUUAUCUCUGCAGUCGGGGAGAUUGAGGUCUGCAGCGUAGAUCCUUCGGGGCUAGAUACAUUUAUGCUAAGUUAUAGCUUUUCAUAGACAACUUGUUGACUAUGUUUAGUCAUGUAGCUUACUCGUAAGUGCUAUUUUACCUACGCUUAGGAUGUUGAAGACUCUACAGAGAUA
Molecule: ribosomal RNA, 775 nt
Filed under: uncultured Neocallimastigales
Lineage: Eukaryota; Fungi; Neocallimastigomycota; Neocallimastigomycetes; Neocallimastigales
Description: partial large subunit ribosomal RNA
Rfam family: Eukaryotic large subunit ribosomal RNA
Source: RNAcentral